AGAGUUUGAUCCUGGCUCAGGAUGAACGCUAGCGGCAGGCCUAAUACAUGCAAGUCGAACGGGAUCCACCAGCUUGCUGGUGGUGAGAGUGGCGCACGGGUGCGUAACGCGUGAGCAACCUACCCAUAUCAGGGGGAUAGCCCCUCGAAAGAGGGAUUAACACCGCAUAAGAUUAUAAGAUGGCAUCAUCAAGUAAUUAAAUAUUCAUAGGAUAUGGAUGGGCUCGCGUGACAUUAGCUAGUUGGUAGGGUAACGGCUUACCAAGGCGACGAUGUCUAGGGGCUCUGAGAGGAGAAUCCCCCACACUGGUACUGAGACACGGACCAGACUCCUACGGGAGGCAGCAGUAAGGAAUAUUGGUCAAUGGGCGAGAGCCUGAACCAGCCAUGCCGCGUGCAGGAGGACGGCCCUACGGGUUGUAAACUGCUUUUGCACGGGAACAAACCCCGGUACGUGUACCGGUUUGAGUGUACCGUGAGAAUAAGGAUCGGCUAACUCCGUGCCAGCAGCCGCGGUAAUACGGAGGAUCCAAGCGUUAUCCGGAUUUAUUGGGUUUAAAGGGUGCGUAGGCGGCGCGCUAAGUCAGUGGUGAAAGACGGUGGCUCAACCAUCGCAGUGCCGUUGAUACUGGCGCGCUUGAAUGCGGAUGAGGUAGGCGGAAUGUGGCAAGUAGCGGUGAAAAUGCAUAGAUAUGCC
This 696-nucleotide ribosomal RNA is filed under the name uncultured Bacteroidota bacterium. RNAcentral's name for it is "bacterial SSU rRNA". It matches the Rfam family "Bacterial small subunit ribosomal RNA", at positions 8 to 700 of the family's 1533-position model. The record is from RNAcentral. Lineage: Bacteria; Pseudomonadati; Bacteroidota.